CUACCUGAUCCGAGGUCAAAUUUUCAGAAGUUGGGGGUUUAACGGCAGGGCACCGCCAGGGCCUUCCAGAACGAGAUAUAACUACUACGCUCGGGGUCCUAGCGAGCUCGCCACUAGAUUUCAGGGCCUGCCCUCGUUAGAAGGCAGUGCCCCAUCACCAAGCCAGGCUUGAGGGUUGAAAUGACGCUCGAACAGGCAUGCCCUCCGGAAUACCAGAGGGCGCAAUGUGCGUUCAAAGAUUCGAUGAUUCACUGAAUUCUGCAAUUCACAUUACUUAUCGCAUUUCGCUGCGUUCUUCAUCGAUGCCAGAACCAAGAGAUCCGUUGUUGAAAGUUUUGAUUCAUUUAUGUUUUUUACUCAGAGAUUCACUAAAGAAACAAGAGUUUAGUUGGCCGCCGGCGGGCUGCUCCCUGUUUCCAGGGGGCCUCAGUGAAGAGGCCGGCCUGCGCCGAGGCAACAAAUAGGUAUAAGUUCACAAAGGGUUUCUGGGUGCGCCGAAGCGCGUUCCAGCAAUGAUCCCUCCGCAGGUUCACCCUACGGAA
Molecule: ribosomal RNA, 542 nt
Filed under: fungal sp. SNB-GTC2503
Lineage: Eukaryota; Fungi
Description: partial large subunit ribosomal RNA
Source: RNAcentral